Molecule: ribosomal RNA, 494 nt
Filed under: uncultured bacterium
Lineage: Bacteria
Description: partial 16S ribosomal RNA
Rfam family: Bacterial small subunit ribosomal RNA
Source: RNAcentral
GAUGAACGCUGGCGGCGUGCCUAACACAUGCAAGUCGAACGGAGCUGCUUUGAUGAAGUUCUCGGAUGGAUUUAAAACAGCUUAGUGGCGGACGGGUGAGUAACGCGUGGGUAACCUGCCUCACACUGGGGGAUAACAGUUAGAAAUAGCUGCUAAUACCGCAUAAGCGCACAGUUCCGCAUGGAACAGUGUGAAAAACUCCGGUGGUGUGAGAUGGACCCGCGUCUGAUUAGCUAGUUGGCGGGGUAACGGCCCACCAAAGCGACGAUCAGUAGCCGGCCUGAGAGGGUGAACGGCCACAUUGGGACUGAGACACGGCCCAAACUCCUACGGGAGGCAGCAGUGGGGAAUAUUGCACAAUGGGGGAAACCCUGAUGCAGCGACGCCGCGUGAGUGAAGAAGUAUUUCGGUAUGUAAAGCUCUAUCAGCAGGGAAGAAAGUGACGGUACCUGAAUAAGAAGCCCCGGCUAACUACGUGCCAGCCGCCGCCGUAA